UUCAAAAGAUAUCCAGACAUGACCCAUAUUAUAUUAGGGUUUUAAUCUGCAUCGCCCCUAUCGAGCUCUCUCCUCCUUCCUCGCUCUUCGUCUCCUGCAAACUCAGACCCCCAUCUUUGUAACGUCUCCCGUUUCUGUAAUUCAUCUAUUUUAACCUCAUCAUUUACUUCAAACCCACUACUCAUCCCACUCUCUCUGAAUUAAACAGCUUCAUUAUCAUCAAAGGUUAUCGCUUGAAGCUCUUCUCUAUAAAUCGGUUCCUUCCCUGCGAUGAAUAGCUGCAGUUCUACGAAAUCCCUAAGUAAAAACUUCAUCAAGCUUCGAUUCCAGCAAUGGCUUCUUCCUACACGAUUCAUGAGAUCGGUCUGUGUUUGGUUCGACUUCUCCGGUUUGAGAGGCUCGGGAUGUCAGGAGAGAUGGCGAACUGAUGAGUAGCGACAUUCUUUUCCUGGAUGAGAAGGGCGGUUAUUCCUCAAUGGGACUUUUGGAACCGACAUCUACUUCGACACUGAGACGGAUGCGGAAAAGGAGCACUAUGCAAAGUUGUUUGGAGAUGGCUCAAACCAGACAGCCUCUUCAUCAAAACUGAUUCAUGCUCAGAAGAUAGACCCCUCACUGUCUCUGAGCUUAACCAAUCUGUCUUAACAGCUGAUCCUCAGAUAAUCGAGUUCCUCUGUACUGCUAAAGUAAUACAGUCUGAAAAAGGGGGUGUUAUAUUGGCAGCAGUGGAUGUUCUCAGAAGGUUGUGAAGGAGAUUUCUUCUUUCACGUGCUUUUUUUUUUGUGAUAACACAAGCGCUAUGGCUUCCCCCAGGUACCAUGUGGAACUAUCUGCAGCAGAUCAGACAGAUGAUGCUCUAUUUGUUGCUUUUGAUAUGGAAAUGCUUAAGUUGACCAACAUUCAAACUUGAAGAGCAUCCCAAGACUCAGCGUGCACCACUCCCAGACUUUGUAGGCGAUGGUGAUCAACAUGAGCAAGUCCAGAAUCCAAUAGCAAGUAUGGUCCCUGCUGGUAACAGUAGCACUGUUGUUGAGAUCGUUGAUAAUUUGGCAGCGAAACUUGGUGAAACUACAGAUGUGAACCAUCAAACUCCCUCAUCUACUGUACCAGAAGGGGGGCGUCCAGCAUCAAGCACACCACCUGUUGAUCGAUAUGAGAGUGAAAAGAAGAAGCUACGGUUGGCAUAGAGCCACCUGAGAGUUACAACCCACCAAUACAUUUACUUAUGUAUUGAUGUCGUUCUUUUGCAUUUGCUUUUCGUCUAGAGUUUUUGCAACUUCGUGUUUUUUUAAAUAAAACUAUGUGGUGGUGUUUUACUUAUUAAUGCAAGUUUUUCUCUUUAUUACCUUCUAGGUUCUAAUUAAUUGACAACACAUAUUAUGCUUGAAAAAUGAAGUCCGCUGCAUGACUCAAUGUAUUUCAUUAGUUAAAUUAAAAUUAUAAGAAUAUUCAUCAGAAACUAUUUAUAUAACAGGCUACCAACAAGAUCAAAUACCUAUAUUACAGUCAGGAACGAGACACUUUCUUUCUUAAAAAAACAAACAUUGCCUCAUACAUAUACAUGAACCCUCCACGUAUAAAUUCCUACCUAUUAUGACAGAGUUAACUUAAAGAAACUCUAACUAACGUACAUGUUAACUUACAGAUAUUUUCUUAUAAUACCUUGAAUUAAAGCCGGCUUUAUUGGGUCAAUAUAACACAUUCGUGGGGACUGACAUUCAAUGCAACAAUUAAACAUGUUCAGACGUUUCUGCAAGGUCAAGUAGUUUUAGCUUCACAAAAAGAAGUUCUAAACUCAUACUCUGUCUACUCUAUCAAAAAACCAGAGCUAUAUUCAUGGUGAGGAAGAAAGCUAAAGCUGAAGGCAAAACCGGAAAUGGUGGAUCUCAAGAAAACCAACCUAUACCUCAAGUGUCCACUUCAGCUACCAAUAAACCAAAGAAAAAACAAGUUUGUUGUAUCCAAAAUAAGAUAGAAGGAAUUUGACGAAAAGUUUACAUCGGUUGUUUAACUUAUAUUCCUCCCUAUGUAGCGUAUGACCAGCGUCAUCCAUGACGACGCUGAGAAUUUUCCACUCAUAGUUGAGAAUACAAAUUCAGAGGAAGCAUCCAGAGGUUAUAUUUAUUUUAGGAUCCACCUAACGCACAGUUUACUAUUACAAAUUAUAAAAACCAAUAACCUGCUUUACUCAUGCUGCUUAAGAAUCAGAACACAUGAUCAGUUGGAAGGAAAGCUCGGCAAGAACGUCAACUUAUCCCCGCAGAAAAGCGUGGAGAGCAACCAAAACAAGGUAUGUUCCAGUAAAUUACUUUACACUUUGAAAAGGUCUUACGUGCUCGACUAAACCAGAGCAGUCCAUGGCUGUCCUCUAACUUGCCAAAUCAGAACAUUCUGAUUGGAUUUCCUUCUCAUGAUACUUAUCUUAAACAAGUGAACGAAGCAAAAGUCCAAGCUCUCGGGCGAAAAGUAGAGCUGCAAAGAAAGGGACCAACCCUAAUAAAACAGUUGCAUCUUCAAGUGCAAACACUCAAGGGAAGCUCAGACGCACACCUGUAUAUAAGUGGGAUUUAACAAUGAUCUACUAUUUACUCUUCUGGAUUACGGCGCAAGAAACACAGAUCAUACACGAUCUUGGAAUAGAAAAAAAAUGUUAGUAAACCCAACCUACUAACUGUCAAAAUAAAGGAAACCAGUAGACAAAAAAAGAUAUAGUAGAGGGGAGGUUUCUUUGCUCCCUAGAUAAAAAGUCCAAUUUUGCACACAAAGUACGCACCAAUGCAGCCGCUGGACGAGAUACCUUAGUAUGCAGCCUUGAGUUUCUUUCCCUCCAAACCAAAUAAAGAGAAGCUUGGAAUGCUAGCUUGAGGAUUAGAUUGACAUUCCUAUCACAAGUUGGGUCGUUAAUCCAUCAUAAACCAUUAGGAAAGAUCGAGGGUGGUGUGAGAUGGAGUUUAGAGCAAAACAAAGACCAAACCUCCCUGCUAAAAGCACAAUCGAAGAAAAUAUGUUGACGAUUUUCGUCCAAUGUGCCGUAGAGGAGACAUGCCGGAGAGACGUCUAUACCCGAGCACCUCAUCCUAUCUCGAGUUGGUAAUCUGUCAUGAGCUACCAGCCAUGUUAUGAAGGCAUGUUUAGGAAUCCUACCCUUGAACCACACUGAUUUAUGCCAUGAUACUUCAGUUAAUUGAUUAUAGAGGUGAUUGCACAUGAGCGAUGAAGAAUAAUUGUUAGCCGGAGCGUUAUCUUCCACUUUCCAUAAGAAGAAACCGUCACUCUCUAAUGCAACGAUCUCUGAAGGAUUAGGCAAAUUGUCCUUGAGAAAACCAAUAAUCACAUUCCUAGACCGUGACGAAUACAGCCACCAUCGAUUGUCAACAAUAGCAUCUCGAAACACUACUGAUUCUGAUAAUUCGGUUGUCCUCGGGCCAAACUCUCCAGUCAUGUUAAUCAACGGUCCCAGCGAGGUCCAAUUAUUAAACCAGAAGCUCGCAGAAAUACCAGUACCCAAAUCACAGACCACAAAGGGACGAGCUAACGAUCUAAGUUUGCACAAAGAUUUCCAUAUCCAACUUCCGGAUCUAAUGGGAUCAAGAAUCCAGAAAUUUUCAUUUCCUAUACAUUAGGGACUGACUCAAUAACCAUUUUAGCCAUUAGGGACUGAUUCGAUAACCCUUUUAGCCAACUUCAGUACAAUAGAACUCAAAAUUUUAGCCAUCGAUGACUUCCAUAUACUCUGAAAAUUAAAAAAAAAAAAACUCAAACAUAAAACUUUUUAAAA
This is a long non-coding RNA of Brassica napus (rape), 3778 nucleotides long. RefSeq lists it as uncharacterized. The transcript has 10 exons. NCBI's taxonomy places the organism in Eukaryota, Viridiplantae, Streptophyta, Magnoliopsida, Brassicales, Brassicaceae. The record is from RefSeq and is a predicted model, not a curated record.